AACCAUGUUAUGACUUCAAUAAAGCUUAAAAUGAAAAGGACAUUGAAACAAGAAAAUUCCACUUGAAUCAUUAACACAAACGUAUUCAAUAACCAUAACAGACAUUCAAACAACAUAUAAUGUAGAGCAUUACAACAAAAGCAUUGAUACUAACUAGAAAAAGAGACAGACCUUUGAAAUUUACAGUUCUACAGCCAGAAAAUCAUGCAAGAAACUAGACCCAGAUGGAACCUCGCGCGAUUUUGAAGCACAACUCCAACUGAUUUUACAAUUCAAAUGCUCAGGACGUUUUGAAGCUCACAAACAAUGGGAAUGCAACCAGAACCUCGGCAGGCGAUGAACUCGUUGAGCUUCGUCAGAGAAAACUCAAAUCGUGCCGACAAACUUGAACUCUACAUCGACCCGGAGAAACAUGAAGCUCAGAGAGCUGGUUGUAAUUGAAACUUUGUAUGUUUUGGUUGAAGGAGAAACAGAACUGAUGUGGUCGUUUUUGAAGAGGAUGAUGAUUGGUUAUGGAGAUGAAAGGCGGUGACAGUGAGUUCUUAAGGGACAGGAAGUUGGGCGACGAGUUUUGUGUGUUUUUGAGGAGUUCGCUGGAUGAGAAUAGUAGCUGGAUCCGGUUCAGGGAGUGGUCAUUGGUUUCUAGGGUUGUUGGUGUUUAAACAUGGAAGAAGAUGAAGCUGGGGGUCGAAGAAGAAGACGUGAAAGGGAGGUCUGUUUGUCGAAAAUGGCUGCUACUGCAUAUUUUGGGUCCUUAAAGUUCGUUCUCCAUGUCUGCAAUGGCUGAUGCUUCAAUGGAGUUUUCCUUGCUGUCUCAACCAGGAAGACGACGAAGAGGCUACGUGAG
This 847-nucleotide long non-coding RNA is filed under the name Nicotiana benthamiana. RNAcentral's name for it is "long non-coding RNA (NBEN_LNC017953)". The record is from RNAcentral. Lineage: Eukaryota; Viridiplantae; Streptophyta; Magnoliopsida; Solanales; Solanaceae.